Gymnodraco acuticeps is the source of this 703-nucleotide long non-coding RNA. RefSeq lists it as uncharacterized. The transcript has 3 exons. NCBI's taxonomy places the organism in Eukaryota, Metazoa, Chordata, Actinopteri, Perciformes, Bathydraconidae. The record is from RefSeq and is a predicted model, not a curated record.
UUGACACCAACAAAGUUGUGCACAGGUUCCUUGAUAUGUGCACCACCAGUGGGAGGAGCUGUGGCACCGCUGAAGUGAUCUACACAAAAAUCAAUGACACCUUGCAGGAAAAUGACAUCCCUUGGAGAAAUUGUGUAGGUCUCUCUAUUGACAAUGCCCCUGUAAAUACAGGUGCCAGAAAUUCAAUCUCAGCCAGAAUGUUGAAGGAAAAUGGCAGUAUUUACAUCCAUGGAUGCCCCUGUCAUAUCAUCCACAACACUGCCAAACAUGCGGGGCAGAAGUUUAUGGAAAUAUCCGGAUUUGAUCCAGAGGAUCUGACCGUGGAUGUUGGGUACUGGUUUAAAGGAAGCACCAACCGUAAAGGUUACCUGGCAGAUGAGAAACAACCAAGAUUUAGAAGGCUGGUGGAUGCAUUUUCCAACGCCCUGACUGAAGUCUACCUACUCUUCUAUCAAGCGACGCUGCCAGUGUUCACUCUACUGAACCUCCUCUUCCAGAGAGAAAGGUCUUCCAUCUUUCAGCUCCACGGAGAGGUAAAAUGCAAGGGUUAGGCCAUCCUGCUGCCAAAUACAGUAUGUCUGCUUGAAUUGGCUGAUAUGUCCUUUUUCAAGUAAUACAUGGAAAUGUUUUAUGAACUACAAAUUUGCAGAUGACAAAGUUCAUCAAGAAACUGUGUGCGAGGUUCAUGAAGCCGUCAGCACUA